UGCAGAUUGUAAUAAAUGAGUAGUGGUAUGAUGAACCUUGGCUCGCUGUCGCAAUUUUGGAUCUACUGCAGCUUCUACUUCUCUGCCAACCUCUAGAACUCCCUCUUUGAUAGUGCCCUUAUGAAUAAAUACAUUGCCUAGAGAUUUUUGAACGUCUUUUAUUUCCACAACAGCUACAGGUUUGCUUUCACCUCCGGUAACAUAUAGAAAACCAUGAUCCCCAAUUUGACCACCAGAUUCUGCAUAAAAUGGCGUCUUAUCCAGCAAAACUUCUACUUCACUUCCUUCAGCCACCUGUAUCACUGACUUCCCAUUUACCAAGAGACUUUCAAUGAUUGCUCUUGCAGAAAGCAUG
Molecule: unclassified non-coding RNA, 355 nt
Filed under: Hevea brasiliensis (rubber tree)
Lineage: Eukaryota; Viridiplantae; Streptophyta; Magnoliopsida; Malpighiales; Euphorbiaceae
Source: RNAcentral